AGCCCCCUACAGGCGGGAGGACCCGAAAGGAAAAUAUUUCCGCUCAUAUGGGCGGAGCUAGGGAGCCUAGGCGGAAGUGACUGUAAUAGGAUUUGCGUUUGGGACCGCGGGCUCAGGCUAGGUUUAGUGGAUAAGGUAUGGUGGGUUAGUUAAGUAUUUGUAGAAACUGUUUUAAUAAAGGAUUGAGAACUCUGUUCUUUAAUUUUGCACACAGCACAUGGAUAUCAUUUAGAAACUUACUGUUUUUUGACACAUACGUGGAUACAACGGAUAAGCAACGUACACGUGGGAACCGACCAGUAAUUUUAGAACUAGGGGACCCCUCUUCCUGGCCUUCCUGCCAGAAAUACGAGGGUUUUCUUGGAGUUCUAACAGCUGACUAGGGCCAACACUGGGGCAAAGAGUAGAUGCUUGGUGAAUAUUGUACCAAUUUCAAGGGCAGAGAAUGUGAUCACAGACCUGCUUGUGACAUGUGUUAGGACAAGUGGGAGCAAGCCAGUCACGUGGGGCGUGAAGCUUAAGGAGGCAGUCUCACAGCUGCUGGACCUGGAGGUGUCAUCUGAGAGGGAAAGACUUUUACAGAGAAGGUACAGAAGCAAAGCAAAGAAAGUAUUACAGCUGAAGUGGUUGCCCUAUUUGGAAAAGCCUGGGCUCAUUAUAACAGAAGUCAGGAGAUCUGGCUCUCAGAGACAGCAUAGUAAUAAGCACCAAAGUGUUGUUCUCAAAGAAAUGAGAUCCAGUCCUGCAUGG
Long non-coding RNA from Ailuropoda melanoleuca (giant panda), 750 nucleotides. RefSeq lists it as uncharacterized. Lineage: Eukaryota; Metazoa; Chordata; Mammalia; Carnivora; Ursidae. The transcript is spliced from 6 exons. The record is from RefSeq and is a predicted model, not a curated record.